RNAcentral lists this ribosomal RNA (301 nucleotides) under uncultured soil bacterium. RNAcentral's name for it is "bacterial SSU rRNA". It matches the Rfam family "Bacterial small subunit ribosomal RNA", at positions 26 to 334 of the family's 1533-position model. The record is from RNAcentral.
AGAUUGAACGCUGGCGGCAUGCCUUACACAUGCAAGUCGAACGGUAGAGUAGCAAUACUCGAGAGUGGCGAACGGGUGAGUAAUAUAUCGGAACGUGCCCAGUCGUGGGGGAUAACGUAGAGAAAUUUACGCUAAUACCGCAUACGAUCUAAGGAUGAAAGCGGGGGAUCGCAAGACCUCGCGCGAUUGGAGCGGCUGAUAUCAGAUUAGGUUGUUGGUGAGGUAAAAGCUCACCAAGCCGACGAUCUGUAGCUGGUUUGAGAGAACGACCAGCCACACGUGGGACUGAGACACGGCCCAG